This 165-nucleotide small nuclear RNA is filed under the name Saimiri boliviensis boliviensis (Bolivian squirrel monkey). Its description in RNAcentral is "U1 spliceosomal RNA (ENSSBOG00000011912.1)". It matches the Rfam family "U1 spliceosomal RNA". From Rfam's summary of the family: U1 is a small nuclear RNA (snRNA) component of the spliceosome (involved in pre-mRNA splicing). Its 5' end forms complementary base pairs with the 5' splice junction, thus defining the 5' donor site of an intron. Lineage: Eukaryota; Metazoa; Chordata; Mammalia; Primates; Cebidae. The record is from Rfam by way of RNAcentral.
GUACUUACCUGGCAGGGCAGAUACCAUGGUCACGAAAGUGAUUUUCCCAGGGCGAGGUUUAUCCAUUGCAGUCUAGAUGUGCUGACCCCUGCGAUUUUCCCAAAUGUGGGAAACUCAACUGCAUAAUUUGUGGUAGUGGGGGACUGCAUUUUGUGCUUUCCCCUA